Molecule: ribosomal RNA, 509 nt
Filed under: uncultured bacterium
Lineage: Bacteria
Description: partial 16S ribosomal RNA
Rfam family: Bacterial small subunit ribosomal RNA
Source: RNAcentral
UAGGGAAUCUUCCACAAUGGACGCAAGUCUGAUGGAGCAACGCCGCGUGAGUGAAGAAGGUUUUCGGAUCGUAAAGCUCUGUUGUUGGUGAAGAAGGAUAGAGGCAGUAACUGGUCUUUAUUUGACGGUAAUCAACCAGAAAGUCACGGGCUAACUACGUGCCAGCAGCCGCGGUAAUACGUAGGUGGCAAGCGUUGUCCGGAUUUAUUGGGCGUAAAGCGAGCGCAGGCGGAAUGAUAAGUCUGAUGUGAAAGCCCACGGCUCAACCGUGGAACUGCAUCGGAAACUGUCAUUCUUGAGUGCAGAAGAGGAGAGUGGAACUCCAUGUGUAGCGGUGGAAUGCGUAGAUAUAUGGAAGAACACCAGUGGCGAAGGCGGCUCUCUGGUCUGCAACUGACGCUGAGGCUCGAAAGCAUGGGUAGCGAACAGGAUUAGAUACCCUGGUAGUCCAUGCCGUAAACGAUGAGCGCUAGGUGUUGGGGACUUUCCGGUCCUCAGUGCCGCAGCAA